UCAUCAGUAUCAGAAAUGAAAAGAGGAAGAAGGUGAAGAUGGCGGCGGCAAGGGCUGGGGCCCUGGGAGUCCGAUGGCUGCAAAGGGCAGGUUGGAAUGUUGUGCCGUUGGGUACACGGACAGCCUCCAACAUGACCAAGGACAUGCUCCCGGGACCCUAUCCUAGGACACCAGAAGAACGGGCCGCCGCCGCAAAGAAGUAUAAUAUGCGUGUAGAAGACUAUGAGCCUUAUCCAGAUGAUGGCAUGGGGUAUGGUGACUACCCAAAGCUCCCUGACCGCUCACAGCACGAGAGGGAUCCAUGGUAUGACUGGGACCACUCAGACCUGAGGUUGAACUGGGGUGAACCGAUACACUGGCACCUAGACAUGUAUAUCAGGAACCGUGUGGACACGUCCCCCACACCUGUUUCUUGGAAUGUCAUGUGUAAGCAGCUCUUCGGCUUCCUGGCCUUCAUGAUAUUCAUGUUCUGGGUUGGGGAGAAGUAUCCCUCCUACCAGCCUGUGGGGCCAAAGCAGUACCCUUACAAUGAUUUGUACCUGGAACGAGGCGGCGAUCCUACCAAAGAACCUGAGCCGGUGGUUCACUAUGAGAUCUGAGGAGGCUUCAUGGGCUUUUAUGCCUUCUAACUAGGACUCCUUCAUUCCUAGAAAUUUAACCUUAAUGAAAUCCCCUAAUAAAACUUAGUGCUGUGGUAAAAAAAAAAAAAAAAAAAAAA
This is a non-coding RNA of Microcebus murinus (gray mouse lemur), 718 nucleotides long. NCBI's taxonomy places the organism in Eukaryota, Metazoa, Chordata, Mammalia, Primates, Cheirogaleidae. The record is from RefSeq and is a predicted model, not a curated record.